This 430-nucleotide ribosomal RNA is filed under the name Bacteroidota bacterium. RNAcentral describes it as "Bacteroidetes bacterium partial 16S ribosomal RNA". It matches the Rfam family "Bacterial small subunit ribosomal RNA", at positions 355 to 776 of the family's 1533-position model. The record is from RNAcentral. Lineage: Bacteria; Pseudomonadati; Bacteroidota.
UAGGGAAUCUUCGGCAAUGGGGGGAACCCUGACCGAGCAACGCCGCGUGAGUGAAGAAGGUUUUCGGAUCGUAAAGCUCUGUUGUUAAGGAAGAACGAGUGUGAGAAUGGAAAGUUCAUGCUGUGACGGUACUUAACCAGAAAGGGACGGCUAACUACGGGCCAGCAGCCGCGGUAAUACGUAGGUCCCGAGCGUUGUCCGGAUUUAUUGGGCGUAAAGCGAGCGCAGGCGGUCAAUUAAGUCUGAUGUGAAAGCCCCCGGCUCAACCGGGGAGGGUCAUUGGAAACUGGUUGACUUGAGUGCAGAAGAGGAGAGUGGAAUUCCAUGUGUAGCGGUGAAAUGCGUAGAUAUAUGGAGGAACACCAGUGGCGAAGGCGACUCUCUGGUCUGUAACUGACGCGGAGGCUCGAAAGCGUGGGUAGCAAACAGG